UAUAUAAAACAAAGAACUCUAAAGCUAAAGAUACACUCUAUUAUAAAAACACGAAUUCCAAAUGAAAUCCAUCGGAAAUGAUGAAGACAUUUUUGAUGAAUAUUCUGUUAGAAAUCCCAUAUAUACUAAUAGUACUACUCUGACAAAAACGUUCAUUAGAAAUUCACGUUUACCAUAUCAAAGACCACAAUAAGCCUUGAAAGCAUCACU
This 210-nucleotide long non-coding RNA is filed under the name Solanum tuberosum (potato). RNAcentral describes it as "long non-coding RNA (STUB_LNC001144)". Lineage: Eukaryota; Viridiplantae; Streptophyta; Magnoliopsida; Solanales; Solanaceae. The record is from RNAcentral.